Molecule: non-coding RNA, 86 nt
Organism: Spinacia oleracea (spinach)
Lineage: Eukaryota; Viridiplantae; Streptophyta; Magnoliopsida; Caryophyllales; Amaranthaceae
Source: Rfam
GAGCUAUGAUGAGAAUUGAGAUUGUCAUGCACCACUCUGAUUACCCGUGCUGAUAACUUUCUAUUACCCAUUUUAUCUCUGAGCUC